Molecule: non-coding RNA, 91 nt
Filed under: Triparma pacifica
Lineage: Eukaryota; Bolidophyceae; Parmales; Triparmaceae
Source: RNAcentral
CAAGAUCCUCAUCCCCGGCCUCUUCUAAGAGGGGGGGGCGGGCCGGUGGCGUUCCGUCCGGACGGGGGAGGGACGCUUUUUUUUUUUUUGG